UCUCAACUAUCUGGCAGAAAAACGCUGCACUUCGUCUUGUCGCAUUGAUAAAUGAUACACAAUAUCAUAUCAAUCAUGACGACAAGAUGAGCUUUCAGCCACUAACACUGCGGUUCAACAUGACAAAGCAAAUCUAGUAGGAA
Molecule: non-coding RNA, 143 nt
Organism: Caenorhabditis elegans
Lineage: Eukaryota; Metazoa; Nematoda; Chromadorea; Rhabditida; Rhabditidae
Source: Ensembl